Molecule: long non-coding RNA, 858 nt
Filed under: Theobroma cacao (cacao)
Lineage: Eukaryota; Viridiplantae; Streptophyta; Magnoliopsida; Malvales; Malvaceae
Description: long non-coding RNA (TCAC_LNC002350)
Source: RNAcentral
CCUUUUUUACCUCUACGGUUCUUAAUUCAUUGUUUUCAAAAAUAAAAUAAGUCAUGGUAACUGAACAAUACCAUUCACAAAAUAACAUUACUAUUUGCCAACCUGUGGCAACAUUAUCAGGCAAUCAAGCAUACAAUGUUUUACAACAAAUCUAAUGAAUUACGUUUAAAUAACCAUAUACACAUACAAGGACCUUGACUAUCAGCGGAAUGACUCCGGUGUGGAUACUAUCAUGGAGUGUUUUGGUAACCUACCGUAAGAUGAACAGGAGGAAAUGCCUCCACCUAAGAUCCAACUAUCUUCAAACCUGAAAAUUAAAACAUGAAGUUGAAAAGGGUGAGUGUAAACCUAGUAAGUGAACAUAGGAAGGAAACAAGCAAACGAUAUGGAUAGCUUUUCGAAAACAUGAUGCACUUGUUUAAAAACAAUGCAAUUUUUUAUAUUAUGAACAAAACCCGAUGCCGUACUGUUUUUCAACUCAUUUUAAAACAUUUAACAAGUUCAAGCAAGGCAAGCAUAGCAGAGCGAAUCUCAUUGCAGCAGAAAGGCAUUCUCGCUGCAACAAACUUUAGGGAAAAAUUUUGAACUAACUACCCGAGAGUUUCUCGCUGCAGCGAAAUUUCAGGCUAGUCAAGCCCUCAGCACCCGAGAGUUUCUCACUGCAGCAAGAAUGAAUUUCGCUGCAGCGAGAGAUAGGGUAGUGAAAUUAAAAGAAUUCUUGUCAUAACGAAAAAUCCAUUUUUUUUUGCUGCAAUGAAAAAUCAAUUGGGAAGCAUUUGUCAAAUUUCAACAUUUAAUAUGCAAAACAAUCACAUUUUAUUUCUUUAACAUUUAUAUGGAAUGUGUAUACAUGUAUAC